This 252-nucleotide ribosomal RNA is filed under the name uncultured Parvimonas sp. RNAcentral's name for it is "partial 16S ribosomal RNA". It matches the Rfam family "Bacterial small subunit ribosomal RNA", at positions 524 to 776 of the family's 1533-position model. Lineage: Bacteria; Bacillati; Bacillota; Tissierellia; Tissierellales; Peptoniphilaceae. The record is from RNAcentral.
UACGUAUGGGGCGAGCGUUGUCCGGAAUUAUUGGGCGUAAAGGGUACGUAGGCGGUCUAUUAAGUCAGGUGUGAAAGCGUGAGGCUUAACCUCAUUAAGCACUUGAAACUGAUAGACUUGAGUGAAGGAGAGGAAAGUGGAAUUCCUAGUGUAGCGGUGAAAUGCGUAGAUAUUAGGAGGAAUACCGGUGGCGAAGGCGACUUUCUGGACUUUUACUGACGCUCAGGUACGAAAGCGUGGGGAGCAAACAGG